UGCCUCCCGUAGGAGACUCCUACGGGAGGCAGCAGUAGGGAAUCUUGCGCAAUGGGCGAAAGCCUGACGCAGCCAUGCCGCGUGAAUGAUGAAGGUCUUAGGAUUGUAAAAUUCUUUCACCGGGGAAGAUAAUGACGGUACCCGGAGAAGAAGCCCCGGCUAACUUCGUGCCAGCAGCCGCGGUAAUACGAAGGGGGCUAGCGUUGCUCGGAAUUACUGGGCGUAAAGGGCGCGUAGGCGGACAGUUUAGUCAGAGGUGAAAGCCCAGGGCUCAACCUUGGAAUUGCCUUUGAUACUGGCUGUCUUGAGUUCGGGAGAGGUGAGUGGAAUGCCGAGUGUAGAGGUGAAAUUCGUAGAUAUUCGGCGGAACACCAGUGGCGAAGGCGACUCACUGGCCCGAUACUGACGCUGAGGCGCGAAAGCGUGGGGAGCAAACAGGAUUAGAUACCCUGGUAGUCCACGCUGUAAACGAUGAGUGCUAGUUGUCGGCAUGCAUGCAUGUCGGUGACGCAGCUAACGCAUUAAGCACUCCGCCUGGGGAGUACGGUCGCAAGAUUAAAACUUAAAGGAAUUGACG
RNAcentral lists this ribosomal RNA (577 nucleotides) under uncultured Phenylobacterium sp. RNAcentral's name for it is "bacterial SSU rRNA". It matches the Rfam family "Bacterial small subunit ribosomal RNA", at positions 320 to 915 of the family's 1533-position model. Lineage: Bacteria; Pseudomonadati; Pseudomonadota; Alphaproteobacteria; Caulobacterales; Caulobacteraceae. The record is from RNAcentral.